GCUAUAGCUCUGGAUUUUUUGCAGAUUUUCAAAUAAAACUCAGAGAUUCCUUUGUAUGACUCUCUCAUAUCUCUCUUUUGUGGUAUUUCUGGAUCCUUACCAAGGCAGUGACGGUAUAUGCCUUCUCUCAAGAUAUGUGGUAUUUGUGGUAUAAGGCAUAGUGACAUUGCCUUCUCUCUCACCCUACUCUAAUAAGGCUUUAAUAUCUGGAGCUCAUAGGUGGGAGAUAAAGUAUACAUACUUACAAGACAUUUAUUGUAUAGUCAAACCAUGGAUCCAAAGAAACAAAUCAAUAAGCCAAAUCAAGAUGUGCAUGUGUGGCGAAUGAAUAGUGUAUGGUGAUGAUGGUGAUAACAAUGGUGAAAGUCUAAUUCUACUUUUGCUCUUUUGAGGGGAUACAUACCUUCCUUGCUUUUUGAAACUUUAUGAGGAGAAUGAGAUGCUCUUCUUUUUCUUUUUCUUUUCAGGUGGGUAUCCUGUACCCCUAAUUCUACUGUCGGACACUUGUCCAUUUUUACCUCUCGUCUCACUCUUUUUCUUUUCUUUCGAGGUUUCGGGCACUUGCCCCUUUUUAUUUCCUCGUUUAUUUAUUAUUAGUUUUUUCUUUUCUUUUUUUUUCAGAGCACUCAUCUCCUGAAAUAAUGUAGCAAGUGGUAGUAACCAAAAUAACUGGAGUAUUUAUUUCACAGGGAAUAACAGGGAUAGGAAAAUGUUUUUGGCUAUUCUCUCCCGGAUUAGGAGUAGAAUGAUUUUAGGUGAAACUGGAGGUGGAAAUGGAUGGAUAUAUGUGGAUGGUACUUCCGGAGUAGAAGUAGCAUAUAUGAGUGAACGUGCAAGUGAAUCUUGAUUUAACCACAUGACAAGCUCCUAAGGGUCUACACAGCUUGACCACACUCAAUGCUCAUAAGCAGUAAAUAAAUGUGUGGCUCAAAGUCUAGCAAGCAUGUAUAUAUGGCUGUGGUAGGAAUUUAAACUUUCAUCAUACAAGAACUCAUCAUGCAAUAUUUUAAAGAUUUUUCAAAGAUAAAAUUCUCCAGAAUUCUAGCAUCUCUAGGAACAGAUAAACAACAGCUCAACCUUCCCAUAUCAUAUCCGUUAACAACUUAGAUUUCAGAUCAAGUUUUCAUCCCACAAGUUUAGAUCUAGAGCAAGCUUUAAAUUAUAACAGUUAUGUCUAAACUUGAGAGAGAACUUCAAAUUUGCAAAUUAGACAGAGCAACUAUUCAUCAUAUCCAUGCUAGAGUUUUAUUAUUAAAAUUCAGAUUAGCAUGGACACUUUAUUUAUUUAUUAAACACACUAAGCAAAAGAUAUAUAUAUAAGCACAAAAUCUUUAUUUGGUUUUUCAUAGUUUAUGCAUUUUAAUAUUCUAAUAUAAUAUAAGUAUAAAGAUAGGUAGAAAUACUUAGCGAGAUAAAUGGGGGUGCUCUCCCCCAAGCUGAAUUUUGACGUAAUUUCUCUUGAUGUAGCUAGCAGGUGGCAGAGGUGUAUUUGAAAGUCAGCAGCAUUGUGACAGCGAUUAGAAUGUCCUCCAUCUGCUAGUCUUCUUAAUUCUUAAAUUCUGUGGAGCCCAAAUAGACAACAAAGCUUGUGGAACUAAUUAAGUGUUAGCAUAAAUAUCUAGCCUUCAUCACGUUGAGCUUCCUUAAUAAAUAUUACUCCUUGUUUUUAUAUUUUUAUUUUAUAAAGUAAAAAAGAAAUAUUUAUUUUAUUUUUAUGCCACCACAGUGAAGGUACUUAUGGGUUUUGUGCCACUCGUAUACCCACAUGGGGCUUAGUAGUUUUUAAAUUUUUUUUUUCUUUUCAAGAUAGCAUGAUUUACUAAUAAUCUAUUUAAGGAAAGUAAAUAAUUAAAGGGAAAAGGGAAUGUAGAAAGGAUAAAUAUGGAUAACUACCAAUCUUACCUUUCGGCGAGGGUUCAAUGUUUUAAGUCUUCUUUACAAGACUUCUCACCGUGUUUAUUCUUCAGGUGCGUCAUUUGAUUCAGGUGCGGACCUUGACGUCUGCACCUUUUAAUACGGUGUCACCCAUGUUCUUCGUUUGCCCAGCAGUUCGAAGUGAGGUGUUAGCAGUAUCUUGCUCAGUGUGUUUGUGCUCGUAGUGUACCUGCUCAUAGAGACAAGGCAGAGAUCCAGUGCAUGGGCCCUGUUGGUGGAAAACACCAACAGAACCAAAAGUGUAUUUGUUCUUCUCUAACCUUAAGCAUAGUGAGCAAGACAAGUUGAUGGAUGAUAAGUUCAUGAGUGUAGCACUUAUAACAUUUGUCAGAUCAGAUGGCUCAACCUUAUGGAAAGAUAAUCUAUCUAUGUAUAUGUCUUUUUCUUUAUAUCUCUCAAUGAUUGAAUGUGUAACAUCUUAGCUCAUAUGAUUAGGAGUGUGGGAUCAUGGAGGUAGUACUAAGAACAAGGAUUAAAGGACUAAACAUGUUUAAUCAGAUGGGUUGGUUAAUCUAGAGUUGUAAAUCAUACACGUUUGUCUCUUUUAUUUAUAGGAACGCCAUAACCAAGGAGAAGCUUAUAAAAGUGAUAGUCAAGUACCUUAAGAUGUUACCUUGCUCGAAGAGUGAUGGUACAGUAUCAUCUUGUGGAAGCUUUCCUUUCUUAGCGGUUAUGCGUCGUGUUUGUGGCACCCUCCAUGGAUCAUCUCUCUAUGAUGAAUGAGCUAUGUCCUUCUUGUGCAAAUUGUUAAACUUCAUGUGUCACUCUCUUCGUCUCUGAUGUGAGUUUAUCUUAGGACUUCCCAAAUCGGUAUUGAAAGUUUUCCUGCAGGGGUUAGUCCGACAAAAUAUACCAAUAUCUACUCAAGCAGUUUUUUUUAGUUCAAUAACCAAACUAGACUCCAUGUCUAAUCAGAUUAAGGAAGGCUAUUUAACCUAAGCACCAUGCUUAAUUUAAAUGCCAAUGGAAGUAUGGCGAGUACUUCCAAACCAACACUUGCUAGUAAAUAGACAAAGGUAGCAUGACAACAUUUAUAGAGAUUUACUCAAGUGGAGAUGAAGUAGUGUGAUUAGUAUUUAACAAAUUGAGCAUGUCUCAAAGGUAGGGACAACCAGCAUAGCAACAUGGCAAAGGAUGUUUUUAUGUAAAGUACUCCCCCAAGCUUGAAUUUUACAAAAUUCAAGUUUGGAUGAAUUUAAUUCAAUGUUGUAUGAUGAUUGGUUGGACAUACCUUGUACUUGUCAUUCAUCCCAUCUUCUUGCUCCAAUCCUGGAA
This 3210-nucleotide long non-coding RNA is filed under the name Sorghum bicolor (sorghum). RNAcentral's name for it is "long non-coding RNA (SBIC_LNC012140)". Lineage: Eukaryota; Viridiplantae; Streptophyta; Magnoliopsida; Poales; Poaceae. The record is from RNAcentral.